This 432-nucleotide ribosomal RNA is filed under the name uncultured bacterium. Its description in RNAcentral is "partial 16S ribosomal RNA". It matches the Rfam family "Bacterial small subunit ribosomal RNA", at positions 338 to 795 of the family's 1533-position model. The record is from RNAcentral.
CCUACGGGAGGCAGCAGUGGGGAAUAUUGGACAAUGGGCGCAAGCCUGAUCCAGCCAUGCCGCGUGAGUGAUGACGGCCUUAGGGUUGUAAAGCUCUUUCGCGAGGGACGCGGUACCUCGACAAGAAGCCCCGGCUAACUUCGUGCCAGCAGCCGCGGUAAUACGAAGGGGGCUAGCGUUGUUCGGAAUUACUGGGCGUAAAGCGCGUGUAGGCGGAUCUUUAAGUCAGAGGUGAAAUGCCAGGGCUCAACCUUGGAACUGCCUUUGAUACUGGAGAUCUUGAGUCCGGGAGAGGUGAGUGGAACUGCGAGUGUAGAGGUGAAAUUCGUAGAUAUUCGCAAGAACACCAGUGGCGAAGGCGGCUCACUGGCCCGGACUGACGCUGAGACGCGAAAGCGUGGGGAGCAAACAGGAUUAGAUACCCUUGUAGUC